Drosophila sechellia is the source of this 710-nucleotide long non-coding RNA. RefSeq lists it as uncharacterized. The record is from RefSeq and is a predicted model, not a curated record. The transcript is spliced from 2 exons. Lineage: Eukaryota; Metazoa; Arthropoda; Insecta; Diptera; Drosophilidae.
CGGCAAUAGCCACAGCAGCCGUGGAGAGGUUCGACCCAAUAUUAAGUAAUUUUAUUAUGAGAGGCUUCAAAACACAGCCUCCUGCUAGGUCACGAAGGAAGAGAGACAUCACUUUCAACACCUCCAAGGGUCCAGACUUGGGAACUUGCACUCGCAUAUAUAUAUAUAUAUACUGUAAAGUUCGCUGAACAUAAUCAUUAAGCGCAAUUUACCUACAAAGUCGCAUGCCGCCAACAUGGCCCGUGCAAAAUGAUUAUUACCAUACGCCCCGGCAGCAACUGCAGCCUGAACCCGAGGCACAACCACAACAAAGGGGUAUACCAUUCCAUUCCAAUCAUCCCAUACCAUAUCGUAUCGGUUCGGGUUCGGGGCAACGGGCCACCAGGCAAGCGAAACGAAAGACUCGAGGCACGAACUUGACGUGCUCAAAUCCAAAGUGUGGCAAAUCAGCUGGCUUAAAUCGACCUGCAUGCCCGCAAAUAUAACUAAACAAAUAAAUGCUUAACAUCGGCGCAAUAAAGAGGGAGAAAAAUACACGCCAUUCGAAAUAUAAAUCGUGUGGCUUACAUGGAGACAAGUCAAGUGAAAGCUGUUGGGCUGGGCUCUUUACGAAACCGUCUGUAGUCCGUGUUUUUUGCUUCUUCGCCGCAUUUCUGUUUUCUUAAGCACAUAACAGGCAACUGUCAAUAAAUAAUCAAAAUAAACCCGAA